UACGUAGGGGGCAAGCGUUAUCCGGAUUCAUUGGGCGUAAAGAGCGCGUAGGCGGAUUGUUAAGUCAGAAGUGAAAACCGGGGGCUCAACCCGCGGCCUGCAUCUGAAACUGGCAGUCUUGAGUCUGGUAGAGGAAAGUGGAAUUCCUGGUGUAGCGGUGAAAUGCGCAGAUAUCAGGAGGAACACCAGUGGCGAAGGCGGCUUUCUGGGCCACGACUGACGCUGAGGCGCGAAAGCUAGGGGAGCGAAC
Molecule: ribosomal RNA, 250 nt
Filed under: uncultured bacterium
Lineage: Bacteria
Also listed under: 1 other name
Description: partial 16S ribosomal RNA
Rfam family: Bacterial small subunit ribosomal RNA
Source: RNAcentral